This 253-nucleotide ribosomal RNA is filed under the name uncultured bacterium. RNAcentral describes it as "partial 16S ribosomal RNA". It matches the Rfam family "Bacterial small subunit ribosomal RNA", at positions 524 to 776 of the family's 1533-position model. The record is from RNAcentral.
UACGGAGGGUGCAAGCGUUAUCCGGAUUUAUUGGGUUUAAAGGGUGCGCAGGCGGACCUAUUAGUCAGUGGUGAAAUCCCGGGGCUCAACCACGGAACUGCUAUUGAUACUGUUAUUCUUGAAUAUAGUUGAAGUAGGCGGAAUACGACAUGUAGCGGUGAAAUGCAUAGAUAUGUCGUGGAACACCGAUCGCGAAGGCAGCUUACUAAGCUAUUAUUGACGCUGAGGUACGAAAGCGUGGGGAGCGAACAGG